UACGAAGGGGGCUAGCGUUGCUCGGAAUCACUGGGCGUAAAGCGCACGUAGGCGGGUCGUUAAGUCGGGGGUGAAAUCCUGGAGCUCAACUCCAGAACUGCCUUCGAUACUGGCGACCUUGAGUCCGGGAGAGGUGAGUGGAACUCCGAGUGUAGAGGUGAAAUGCGCAGAUAUUAGGAGGAACACCGGUGGCGAAGGCGCCACUCUGGGCCGGAACUGACGCUGAGGAGCGAAAGCGUGGGUAGCAAACAGG
Molecule: ribosomal RNA, 253 nt
Filed under: uncultured bacterium
Lineage: Bacteria
Description: partial 16S ribosomal RNA
Rfam family: Bacterial small subunit ribosomal RNA
Source: RNAcentral